This 497-nucleotide ribosomal RNA is filed under the name uncultured bacterium. Its description in RNAcentral is "partial 16S ribosomal RNA". It matches the Rfam family "Bacterial small subunit ribosomal RNA", at positions 28 to 507 of the family's 1533-position model. The record is from RNAcentral.
GAUGAACGCUGGCGGCGUGCCUAAUACAUGCAAGUCGAGCGAACAGACGAGGAGCUUGCUCCUUCGACGUUAGCGGCGGACGGGUGAGUAACACGUAGGUAACCUACCUAUAAGACUGGGAUAACUUCGGGAAACCGGAGCUAAUACCGGAUAAUAUUUCGAACCGCAUGGUUCGAUAGUGAAAGAUGGCUUUGCUAUCACUUAUAGAUGGACCUGCGCCGUAUUAGCUAGUUGGUAAGGUAACGGCUUACCAAGGCAACGAUACGUAGCCGACCUGAGAGGGUGAUCGGCCACACUGGAACUGAGACACGGUCCAGACUCCUACGGGAGGCAGCAGUAGGGAAUCUUCCGCAAUGGGCGAAAGCCUGACGGAGCAACGCCGCGUGAGUGAUGAAGGUCUUCGGAUCGUAAAACUCUGUUAUUAGGGAAGAACAAACGUGUAAGUAACUAUGCACGUCUUGACGGUACCUAAUCAGAAGGCCACGGCUAACUACGUG